UUGCUUCUGCCUCUGCUGCCCGCUGC
RNAcentral lists this non-coding RNA (26 nucleotides) under Mus musculus (house mouse). Lineage: Eukaryota; Metazoa; Chordata; Mammalia; Rodentia; Muridae. The record is from RNAcentral.